This 999-nucleotide long non-coding RNA is filed under the name Homo sapiens (human). Its description in RNAcentral is "non-protein coding lnc-SLC35C1-1:3". Lineage: Eukaryota; Metazoa; Chordata; Mammalia; Primates; Hominidae. The record is from RNAcentral.
GAUUUGUGAACAGGGCCUGGGGGUGGAGGGGAGGUUGGGACCUGUCAGAGGCAGCAGGGCUGAAGAAGGUUUGUGAACAGGGCCCUGGGGUGGAGGGGAGCUGGGGAUCUGUCAGGAAGGAGGGCUCAUCCCUGCCUUCACCAAGCCCACCCACCAGCAGGCAGCCUUUCUAGGAGCUGGUUCUUUCUAAGGAUACCAGGCUCCUUCCUGGAAGUCUUUGAUUGUCCUGCAACAAGUGCAUUGAUGACAAAAUGGAAUGCAGUGCUCAGCCCUCCUGGCCUCCUGCCUGAUUCUCUUCGGAGUGCACCACAUGGGUGGAAGAGCUGCCCCCACCACAUACAGCCCUCACCCACAGUGUGAUGGGUAGAACCAGGACCAGAUCUACCGGGAGCCCUCCUCCCACACACCGUGGCUUCUAUGAAAGGACUAAAUUUAGGACCUGAAACCAGCUGAAAUGGGGACAGCAGAGCCUGCUGCGCCGCAGCUGCCCAUCCAGGUAAGGAAACCAUGGCACAGAGAGGUUAGCAACAUGUCCCAAAUCACAUAGAAAGGCCUCCCUCUCUGCACACCGAGAGACCAAAUAUACAAACGGACAAUGGCCAAACCGUAUAUGAUAAUAGAACUCUUUCCUACAACCUCCAUCAUGAUCAGCCCUGGAAACCAAACCACCACCUCUGCAGCAAUUGGCCCAGAAGGAUCAGGACUUGGUCAAUGAUUGCCAGUGACUGCCAGUUUCCUUGUGUCCCCCUGACACCCUCCCCACCAGUACAACCGCCACAUCCAACUCAGGACCAAUCAAUCACGUAGGAUGUCCAGCUUCUAGUUAGCUGCCUCCAGCACCCCCAUGCCAGCAGCCUCCGGUGAGGGCACACCUGAAGCCUUCCCUUUUUCUCACUGCAAAUCUUCCUCACUCUGCCUGACUUUGAGUCUUUGCCGAAUAUAUGUAGUGGUGGCCAACUCCCUUGCUAUGGCUCUGAAUAAAAAGCCUCUGUGUGGUCU